UGGCCCUUCUCCCGCGCCCCGCGCUCACCCUCCUGCUCCUCCUCAUGGCCGCUGUUAUCAGGUGCCUGGAGCAGGCCUAGACCACCGACUGGAGGGCCACCCUGAAGACCAUCCGGAACGGCGUUCAUAAGAUAGACACGUACCUGAACGCCGCCUUGGACCUCCUGGGAGGCGAGGACGGUCUCUGCCAGUAUAAAUGCAGUGACGGAUCUAAGCCUUUCCCACGUUAUGGUUAUAAACCCUCCCCACCGAAUGGAUGUGGCUCUCCACUGUUUGGCGUUCAUCUUAACAUUGGUAUCCCUUCCCUGACAAAGUGUUGCAACUAACACGACAGGUGCUAUGAGAACUGUGGCAAAAGCAAGAAUGACUGUGAUGAGAAAUUCCAGUAUUGCCUCUCCAAGAUCUGCCGAGAAGUACAGAAAACACUAGGACUAACUUAGCAUGUUCAGGCAUGUGAAACAACAAUGGAGCUCUUGUUUGACAGUGUUAUACAUUUAGGUUGUAAACCAUAUCUGGACAGCCAACGAGCCACAUGCAGGUGUCAUUAUGAAGAAAAAACCGAUAUUUA
RNAcentral lists this long non-coding RNA (568 nucleotides) under Homo sapiens (human). Its description in RNAcentral is "non-protein coding lnc-ZFYVE9-2:2". The record is from RNAcentral. Lineage: Eukaryota; Metazoa; Chordata; Mammalia; Primates; Hominidae.